UGUUUAGCAUUGUUUCAUGGAUUUCCUGCUAUCUAUGUGUACUAAGUGCAAUCUCAUUAGGUUAAAUAUUAGACACAAUGGGCUAGUUGGAUCCGACCAAAAUGGCAGUGGUAAAAGUGAAUCAUUCACGCUAACCUAUUCUCAAUAGAAUAAACAUCUAAUGCUGCCAACUCUUGCACUGUGUCUAUAGACAUCAAAUGGACUCCUAGGUCAAGCAAGUGACCAACAAUAACUUCUCUUCUU
This 243-nucleotide unclassified non-coding RNA is filed under the name Hevea brasiliensis (rubber tree). Lineage: Eukaryota; Viridiplantae; Streptophyta; Magnoliopsida; Malpighiales; Euphorbiaceae. The record is from RNAcentral.